GAUGAAGAACGUAGCGAAAUGCGAUAAGUAAUGUGAAUUGCAGAAUUCAGUGAAUCAUCGAAUCUUUGAACGCACCUUGCGCCCUUUGGCCAUUCCGAAGGGCAUGCCUGUUUGAGUAUCAUGAACACCUCAACUCUCAUGGCUUGCCAUGAUGAGCUUGGACUUUGGGGGUCUUGCUGGCCUGUGGUCAGCUCCUCUCAAAUGAAUUAGCUUUCCAGUGUUUGGUUGGCAUCACAGGUGUGAUAACUAUCUACGCUUGUGGUUUCCACCAGGUAACCUUCAGUAACAUGGGGGUUUGCUGGAGCUCAUAAAUGUCUCUCCUCAGUGGGGACAGCUCUUUGAACGUUUGAUCUCAAAUCAGGUAGGACUACCCGCUGAACUUAAGCAUAUCAAUAAGCGGAGGA
RNAcentral lists this unclassified non-coding RNA (404 nucleotides) under soil metagenome. Its description in RNAcentral is "partial contains 5.8S ribosomal RNA, internal transcribed spacer 2, and large subunit ribosomal RNA". The stretch from base 1 to 121 matches the Rfam family "5.8S ribosomal RNA", at positions 35 to 154 of the family's 154-position model. The record is from RNAcentral.